AAAGUAUUAGCUGUGGCAGAUGACACUGUUUGACACAAUUUGAGCUAGCUAUAGCAACAAAAUCCAGCCUAUUCCGGUGUUCUUCUCUAUGAGACAAGCCAUUAUGUAGACUUAGACAGU
RNAcentral lists this small nucleolar RNA (120 nucleotides) under Myotis brandtii (Brandt's bat). RNAcentral describes it as "Small nucleolar RNA SNORA28". It matches the Rfam family "Small nucleolar RNA SNORA28". From Rfam's summary of the family: ACA28 is a member of the H/ACA class of snoRNA that guide the sites of modification of uridines to pseudouridines. The record is from Rfam by way of RNAcentral. Lineage: Eukaryota; Metazoa; Chordata; Mammalia; Chiroptera; Vespertilionidae.